RNAcentral lists this long non-coding RNA (736 nucleotides) under Patiria miniata (bat star). Its description in RNAcentral is "uncharacterized LOC119735436". The record is from RNAcentral. Lineage: Eukaryota; Metazoa; Echinodermata; Asteroidea; Valvatida; Asterinidae.
GGACUUCAAAAUUUAAAAUACAAAAAUCUUUCUUAAUACUUCCCACUAAACGCUUUUCCUUUGCUCUAAAAAAAUUCACCCCAUACUUGAUGUUGAAGCGGUUGUGCCUCAGGGGUUUGAAUUCAUUUUAGAGUUACAACUCUCCACAUCCAGGGUGCAUGAGUCAGCCCAGGCUAGGAGACAAUGCCAAAGACAAAGAAGAAGAUUACGCCAGCCUCCUGAUAGGCCAUAAGAGGCCAUCAGCACAUCUUUUUCAGUUUUACCUGUGAAGGUCAAGAAGAAGUUGAAUAUUAUAGUGAAAGUACAUGUAGCUGUGUGUCUUCAUCACCAUUUCUUUGAAUUAAUUUAUUUAUGUGACAAGUUUUUUUGUAUAGUGCUAGCUUCUGGAGUGCUUAAAUUAUUUGUGUAUAACAAUUAAACAGACAUGCAGGUGUCAUAAAGGCAAUAAAUUUAAAGGCGUUACAUACAUUUUUAUUAACCAGUACAUGUGAAAGAGAAGUGAGGUGUUUGAAAAACUAUGCUACUUUGCAUGAAAAACUCACAGAACAUGUCUAUUUCUGUGAUUCAUCACCAUUUAUUUAUAUGGCAGGUAUAUUUUUGGAUUUAAAAGGGGUAGCUUCUUGAGUGCUUUAGUUUUGUAUUACAUUUACACAUGCAGGUAUCACAUGUCAAUAUAUUGAAAGGGUUAUCGGGAUAUACGUGAUGAAUGUGUUGACAUUUUCUUUUAAGAGCAUCA